UACGUAGGGUGCGAGCGUUGUCCGGAAUUAUUGGGCGUAAAGGGCUCGUAGGCGGUUUGUCGCGUCGGGAGUGAAAACACUGGGCUUAACUCAGUGCUUGCUUCCGAUACGGGCAGACUAGAGGUAUUCAGGGGAGAACGGAAUUCCUGGUGUAGCGGUGAAAUGCGCAGAUAUCAGGAGGAACACCGGUGGCGAAGGCGGUUCUCUGGGAAUGUCCUGACGCUGAGGAGCGAAAGCGUGGGGAGCAAACAGG
RNAcentral lists this ribosomal RNA (253 nucleotides) under uncultured bacterium. Its description in RNAcentral is "partial 16S ribosomal RNA". It matches the Rfam family "Bacterial small subunit ribosomal RNA", at positions 524 to 776 of the family's 1533-position model. The record is from RNAcentral.